RNAcentral lists this long non-coding RNA (910 nucleotides) under Mus spicilegus (steppe mouse). Its description in RNAcentral is "lncRNA (ENSMSIG00000020345.1)". Lineage: Eukaryota; Metazoa; Chordata; Mammalia; Rodentia; Muridae. The record is from RNAcentral.
UAGAGAUGACCUGUCUUCCUAUGUUUCCUAUUAACAGUAGGACUAGAGACCUCAGCUGAACUGCAGAAUCGAGAGUCAGGAAGAGACUCCUAAUUAUCCUGGUCUUGAGUCAUGCUUAAAUGAUAUCUCUUCCAUUCUGGCUCCACAUCCAGAUUCUCUCUGCAGAGUCACAUAGCUGGAUCAUGGCACCCCAAUAAAUCGUGAAGAUGAAACUCUCCUCAUUCAUGCCUGGAGCGCUGGCCAAUUGCAACUGCGGAAUGCGCAUUCAGGACCUCUCACGAAUGCGGUUCCCUUCUCGCGAACCCAGCCCGCCCAGCCUGCCGCCCGUUCUUUCCCCAACGAAAUCAACAAGACCGCAGCGGAAAGGUUUCAUGGUCAAGAAGGCUGACCUAGUCACCGGUUCUCCUAAUGAAUCAGCAAUUGGUGCUGGAAUUCGAAUCCCAGCAUCUCCUUUCAAGCAGGGGAAACCGUCAGAAACCAAUCUCAGAGUUAACAAAGUUAGCUAACAAAGACAAGACCUCUGCAAAACGGAAGACCACAACCUCCCCAUGGACGUCAUCUGCUGCCCUUCUUGACUUGACUCAGGAGUUAAACGCCCAUUCUCCAGGGAACAUGAAGAAACGACCAGAGAUCCUGCGUUCGGGAUCUAUGAACCUUAGGAUUCACUGUAUACUUCUAACAGUACUACCUGUCUCGUCCCAGGUCCCUGGUAUCUUCUUCUUUGAGGCAAUUUGAAAUCAUAAUUUCUCAUAGGGAGACACAACCUGAACUUGUCCGAUGGACCAAACCAAGGACUCAGAGAGCAGCUUUUAUCAACGAGAGACCCAAGACCCAACCCCAGUGUGUGUGUUGCUGUUGUAGUUGCUGCUGUUACAAACCACAGAAUUUACGAUGAUUUAAGCAAAAUGAG